This 728-nucleotide long non-coding RNA is filed under the name Cairina moschata (Muscovy duck). Its description in RNAcentral is "domestica (muscovy Duck (domestic type)) lncRNA (ENSCMMG00000008613.1)". The record is from RNAcentral. Lineage: Eukaryota; Metazoa; Chordata; Aves; Anseriformes; Anatidae.
CAAUGAAUCGCAAAGCUGGAACAAUAAUGGAUACAAGACAGACCAGCAAGCACAAAGCCAUCAUCUUAGUACUUAUGAGAAACAGAAGAACAUGGAGAUUUUGCAAUUUGAGCUGAAGCAGGCAGGAGCUCUGGCAGAAGAAGAGGCCUCCCGAGGGGCUUGGAGGUAAACAGCGGAGCCACCAAGGACAGUGUGCAGGAAUCAGAGUGAUGUUCUCUUUCAUGGGAAGAGGAAGCCAUACAACAACUACACCAGGGCAGAGCCCUCCAUGGGAGACAACAGCCUGUAAACUGCUGGGACUACCAGAGAACACCACAAACACCAGGAACCACCGGAAGGAGCCCACCAGCUGCAGAAAGGCAGCAAGAGGAUCAAAAGAGCAACGUCCCAGGCCGAGUCUGUGCCCUCCCUGCAUAUGCAUGAAGCCCACAUCGCCUUUCAGGACUUUGUGCAGAAGUCCAAGAAGCACAAAGCUGCAAAGAAGUGCUGCCGCCUACAUGCUGCCCCAGUUUCCCCAGGCGAAGGGUGAUGAUCUGGUGAAGCCACUGAAUCCCUGCCAGCAGGGAUUUGGAUCCAGAAGCAGGCAAGAGCAUCAGAGCAGCUGUGCUGCUCUGGAUCAAAGCCCACCAUCCGAUGGCCCGUCACUGGCAGCUGGUGGAAGCGAGUGCCCAGGGAGGAGAGCAAAAAGCGGGAUCUUUCCUCAGAGCCAAAAGGCUGUAACCAGAUAA